GACGAACGCUGGCGGCGUGCCUAAUACAUGCAAGUCGAACGAAGCUGUUUUAACUGGUGCUUGCACCGACUUAAACAACUGAGUGGCGAACGGGUGAGUAACACGUGGGUAACCUGCCCCAAAGCGGGGGAUAACAUUUGGAAACAGAAGCUAAUACCGCAUAACCACAGAAACCACAUGGUUUCUGUGUCAAAGAUGGUUUCGGCUAUCACUUUGGGAUGGACCCGCGGCGUAUUAGCUAGUUGGUAAGGUAAUGGCUUACCAAGGCAAGGAUACGUAGCCGAACUGAGAGGUUGAUCGGCCACAUUGGGACUGAGACACGGCCCAAACUCCUACGGGAGGCAGCAGUAGGGAAUCUUCCACAAUGGACGAAAGUCUGAUGGAGCAACGCCGCGUGAGUGAAGAAGGUUUUCGGAUCGUAAAACUCUGUUGUCAGAGAAGAACGUGUGCGAGAGUAACUGCUCGUGCAGUGACGGUAUCUGGCCAGAAAGCCACGGCUAACUACGUGCCAGCAGCCGCCGUAA
RNAcentral lists this ribosomal RNA (524 nucleotides) under uncultured bacterium. RNAcentral's name for it is "partial 16S ribosomal RNA". It matches the Rfam family "Bacterial small subunit ribosomal RNA", at positions 28 to 523 of the family's 1533-position model. The record is from RNAcentral.